RNAcentral lists this long non-coding RNA (1043 nucleotides) under Mus musculus (house mouse). RNAcentral describes it as "long non-coding RNA chr19:40756486-40757529". Lineage: Eukaryota; Metazoa; Chordata; Mammalia; Rodentia; Muridae. The record is from RNAcentral.
GAAGCAGCAAACAGCAGCACAGAAGAAAUGGUGGACAGGCAUCUGUCAAAAGGUUCUCCUGUAGCGUGCCACGCCUCUGAUAUCCUUGGGUUUUAGUUUUUAAGGAUGUAGCGAUUGCUUCCCUUCCCUGCGCUUCAGCAUCCUACAGCAUAAACAUAAACUAGGCUUCCUACAUGAUAUAAGACGGGCCCAAGGAAAAUACAUAGAGAUUGAACUCAUAAUGUUUCGCUCUCUCCAUCAUUAACUGCACACACACAGGGCAUUCACUGGUGCCUGAGAGUGGGUUAGACCUUCGGUAUGUGUCCAUGCAGAACCUGCUUCAGAGGUCCUCUUGUGACUUAGCUCUAGUCUUACUCCUUAUCCCUGCCAGAACGACUUACAAGUCCUCAACAGGUGCAGGAGGAAAGGGCCAACUCAAGAGAACACAACCAAUUCACCUUCCUUUUUAAAAAUCGUAUUCAGAACUGUACAACUGUCUUUCUCACUCCAUCCUGUGAGUAGCAGGAAGUAAUAAAUACAUACAGAGCGUACAAUUCCAAUUCCAUUCUUCCACUUUAACAUCAUCAUCAUGAACAACCACGACACAAUGUGGCUUUGUUAUUAGAUCAUGUCCCUGGGUAUUCUAGAUGGUUCACAAGGAAUUUUUUUUUUCUAACAAGAAAACAGCAUCAGAAGUCAUUUGUCUGAGCUGUUUCAUGCUUUCCUUGUCUAUCUGGCUGAUACCCGAUAAAGCAGCAAGGGAAGGGGACACAGGAUAGACAGGAGGUUGCAAAAGGAGCACAUUUUGCCAUAGAUAAAACUUCUUUUUCCGGAUGAGAAGGGGGAAGAGGCGCAGGCUGCUGAGUGCUCCUGAGCCUGUGGCCCUUUCUCUCUGCUCACCGUGAUGGCUAGGCACAGUUGCAGCUAAGAUACACAGUGAGUGCUUUCACGGUCCCUGCUGAUUAAUGAGAGUAAAAUGAUGUGGACUCUAUGUAAUGCUGACGUCUUGGUUUAAAUGCAGAAGAAAAUCGAAACAUAACAGAGACACUGAGAGGCAAAGUAAG